RNAcentral lists this ribosomal RNA (468 nucleotides) under uncultured bacterium. Its description in RNAcentral is "partial 16S ribosomal RNA". It matches the Rfam family "Bacterial small subunit ribosomal RNA", at positions 28 to 507 of the family's 1533-position model. The record is from RNAcentral.
GACGAACGCUGGCGGCGUGCUUAACACAUGCAAGUCGAACGGAAAGGCCCUGCUUUUGUGGGGUGCUCGAGUGGCGAACGGGUGAGUAACACGUGAGUAACCUGCCCUUGACUUUGGGAUAACUUCAGGAAACUGUGGCUAAUACCGGAUAGGAGCACCUGCUGCAUGGUGGGGGUUGGAAAGUUUCGGCGGUUGGGGAUGGACUCGCGGCUUAUCAGCUUGUUGGUGGGGUAGUGGCUUACCAAGGCUUUGACGGGUAGCCGGCCUGAGAGGGUGACCGGCCACAUUGGGACUGAGAUACGGCCCAGACUCCUACGGGAGGCAGCAGUGGGGAAUAUUGCACAAUGGGCGGAAGCCUGAUGCAGCAACGCCGCGUGCGGGAUGACGGCCGUCGGGUUGUAAACCGCUUUCGCCUGUGACGAAGCGUGAGUGACGGUAAUGGGUAAAGAAGCACCGGCUAACUACGUG